GAUGAAGAACGUAGCGAAAUGCGAUAAGUAAUGUGAAUUGCAGAAUUCAGUGAAUCAUCGAAUCUUUGAACGCACAUUGCGCCCGCCAGUAUUCUGGCGGGCAUGCCUGUUCGAGCGUCAUUACAACCCUCAGGCCCCCCGGGCCUGGCGUUGGGGAUCGGCGGAAGCCCCCUGCGGGCACAACGCCGUCCCCCAAAUACAGUGGCGGUCCCGCCGCAGCUUCCAUUGCGUAGUAGCUAACACCUCGCAACUGGAGAGCGGCGCGGCCACGCCGUAAAACACCCAACUUCUGAAUGUUGACCUCGAAUCAGGUAGGAAUACCCGCUGAACUUAAGCAUAUCAAUAAGCGGAGGA
RNAcentral lists this unclassified non-coding RNA (354 nucleotides) under soil metagenome. RNAcentral describes it as "partial contains 5.8S ribosomal RNA, internal transcribed spacer 2, and large subunit ribosomal RNA". The stretch from base 1 to 120 matches the Rfam family "5.8S ribosomal RNA", at positions 35 to 154 of the family's 154-position model. The record is from RNAcentral.